GACGAACGCUGGCGGCGUGCUUAACACAUGCAAGUCGAGCGGUAAGGCCCUUCGGGGUACACGAGCGGCGAACGGGUGAGUAACACGUGGGUGACCUGCCUUUAGCUCUGGGAUAAGCCUGGGAAACUGGGUCUAAUACCGGAUAUGACCUCAUGACGCAUGUUGUGGGGUGGAAAGCCUUGUGCGGCUAGAGAUGGGCCCGCGGCCUAUCAGCUUGUUGGUGGGGUGANGGCCUACCAAGGCGACGACGGGUAGCCGGCCUGAGAGGGCGACCGGCCACACUGGGACUGAGACACGGCCCAGACUCCUACGGGAGGCAGCAGUGGGGAAUCUUGCGCAAUGGGCGAAAGCCUGACGCAGCGACGCCGCGUGAGGGAUGACGGCCU
This 386-nucleotide ribosomal RNA is filed under the name uncultured bacterium. RNAcentral describes it as "bacterial SSU rRNA". It matches the Rfam family "Bacterial small subunit ribosomal RNA", at positions 28 to 417 of the family's 1533-position model. The record is from RNAcentral.